Molecule: ribosomal RNA, 796 nt
Filed under: Morganella morganii
Lineage: Bacteria; Pseudomonadati; Pseudomonadota; Gammaproteobacteria; Enterobacterales; Morganellaceae
Description: partial 23S ribosomal RNA
Rfam family: Bacterial large subunit ribosomal RNA
Source: RNAcentral
UUGGGUAACACUAACUGGAGGACCGAACCGACUAAUGUUGAAAAAUUAGCGGAUGACUUGUGGCUGGGGGUGAAAGGCCAAUCAAACCGGGAGAUAGCUGGUUCUCCCCGAAAGCUAUUUAGGUAGCGCCUCGUGAAUUCAUCUCCGGGGGUAGAGCACUGUUUCGGCUAGGGGGUCAUCCCGACUUACCAACCCGAUGCAAACUGCGAAUACCGGAGAAUGUUAUCACGGGAGACACACGGCGGGUGCUAACGUUCGUCGUGAAGAGGGAAACAACCCAGACCGCCGGCUAAGGUCCCAAAGUCAUAAUUAAGUGGGAAACGAAGUGGGAAGGCUCAGACAGCCAGGAUGUUGGCUUAGAAGCAGCCAUCAUUUAAAGAAAGCGUAAUAGCUCACUGGUCGAGUCGGCCUGCGCGGAAGAUGUAACGGGGCUAAAUUAUGCACCGAAGCCGCGGCAGCGAUAUGUAAAUAUUGUUGGGUAGGGGAGCGUUCUGUAAGCCUGUGAAGGUGUGCUGUGAGGCAUGCUGGAGGUAUCAGAAGUGCGAAUGCUGACAUAAGUAACGAUAAUGCGGGUGAAAAACCCGCACGCCGGAAGACCAAGGGUUCCUGUCCAACGUUAAUCGGGGCAGGGUGAGUCGACCCCUAAGGCGAGGCUGAAAAGCGUAGUCGAUGGGCAACGGGUUAAUAUUCCCGUACUGGUGGUAACUGCGAAGGGGGGACGGAGAAAGCUAAAUCAUCCGGGCGACGGUUGUCCCGGUUUAAGCGUGCAGGUGGACUGACCAGGCAAAUCCGGUCG